AUUGAACGCUGGCGGCAGGCCUAACACAUGCAAGUCGAAUGGUAACAGGAAACAGCUUGCUGUUUCGCUGACGAGUGGCGGACGGGUGAGUAAUGUCUGGGAAACUGCCUGAUGGAGGGGGAUAACUACUGGAAACGGUAGCUAAUACCGCAUAACGUCGCAAGACCAAAGAGGGGGCCUUCGGGCCUCUUGCCAUCAGAUGUGCCCAGAUGGGAUUAGCUAGUAGGUGGGGUAACGGCUCACCUAGGCGACGAUCCCUAGCUGGUCUGAGAGGAUGACCAGCCACACUGGAACUGAGACACGGUCCAGACCCCUACGGGAGGCAGCAGUGGGGAAUAUUGCACAAUGGGCGCAAGCCUGAUGCAGCCAUGCCGCGUGUAUGAAGAAGGCCUUCGGGUUGUAAAGUGCUUUCAGCGGGGAGGAAGGGAGUAAAGUUAAUACCUUUGCUCAUUGACGUUACCGGAAGAAGAAGCACCGGCUAACUCCGUG
Molecule: ribosomal RNA, 489 nt
Filed under: uncultured bacterium
Lineage: Bacteria
Description: partial 16S ribosomal RNA
Rfam family: Bacterial small subunit ribosomal RNA
Source: RNAcentral